Molecule: long non-coding RNA, 342 nt
Filed under: Medicago truncatula (barrel medic)
Lineage: Eukaryota; Viridiplantae; Streptophyta; Magnoliopsida; Fabales; Fabaceae
Description: long non-coding RNA (MTRU_LNC005622)
Source: RNAcentral
GGUUAUAGUUUGGACUUCGCCGGCGGGGUCGAGGUAGGAGAAGGUGGAUUCGGGGAGUUUGUCGCCGACGGAGAUGGUGGCGGAGAUUUUGGGGGAAGAGGAGAAUCGGAGAGGUUUUGAGUUGAAGCGGUUGAAUUUGAGAGGGAGGGUGAAGUUGGAAGAGAGGGUUUUGGUUUUGGGAGAUAAGAGUGAGGUAGUGGUAGAAGAUGAGAGGAGUCUGGAGAAAGAGAGUGAUGUUGCCAUUGUUGAUUUGGAAGAGUGAGAGAGAGUGAGUAGAAGGUGUUUGUGGAAAUGAAUGAAUGAAGAAGGUGAAGUAUGAAUGAAGAUGAAUCUUGCCUCAAC